This 275-nucleotide ribosomal RNA is filed under the name uncultured bacterium. RNAcentral's name for it is "partial 16S ribosomal RNA". It matches the Rfam family "Bacterial small subunit ribosomal RNA", at positions 523 to 796 of the family's 1533-position model. The record is from RNAcentral.
AUACGGAGGGUGCAAGCGUUAUCCGGAAUUAUUGGGUUUAAAGGGUCCGUAGGCAGCUAGAUAAGUCAGUGGUGAAAUUCUCUCGCUCAACGAGAGACCUGCCAUUGAUACUGUCUUGGCUAGAGUUACAGUGAGGUGAGUGGAAUGUGUAGUGUAGCGGUGAAAUGCAUAGAUAUUACACAGAACACCGAUUGCGAAGGCAGCUCACUAACUGUAUACUGACGCUGAUGGACGAAAGCGUGGGGAGCAAACAGGAUUAGAAACCCUAGUAGUCC